UAUGCUCGUCUCCGAGACUAAGCCAUGCAAGUCCAAGUACACGUCCUUGAACGACGGAAACUGCGAACGGCUCAUUAAAUCAGUUGCGAUCUACUCGGCGUUCCGCGCCGCCGGAUAACCGUAGUAAUUCUAGGGCUAAUACGUGCGAAGCGCCCGAAGCCGCGAGGCGACGGGCGUUCUCGCCGGAUGUAGGAACCGUACCCCGGGGGACCGCCGGGGGCAACCCGGCGCCCCCGAGACGGGGCGAACCACGGUGAAAUGACGGAUCGUCGGCCCCGCGCCGGCGACUCGCCGAAUGAGUUUCUGACCUAUCAACUCGAGACGGCGGGGUAGAGGCCCGCCGCGGUAACGACGGGUAACGGGGAAUCAGGGUUCGAUUCCGGAGAGGGAGCCCGAGAAACGGCUAC
RNAcentral lists this ribosomal RNA (407 nucleotides) under uncultured eukaryote. Its description in RNAcentral is "bacterial SSU rRNA". It matches the Rfam family "Eukaryotic small subunit ribosomal RNA", at positions 27 to 410 of the family's 1831-position model. The record is from RNAcentral.